UGUUUUGGAAGAGAAGCAUUUAUUACAUAAAAAGCCAAUAUAUGUUUUUAAAGCAUAAAAGUUGGUGAUUUACAAUAACUAAGCAAAUCGCACAGUGCAAACUGGCGAUAAAUCAUUCAAGUUUCUGACCUAUCAGCUUUCGACGGUAUGGUAUUGGCUUACCGUGGCAGUGACGGUUAACGGGGGAUUAGGGUUCGAUUCCGGAGAGGGAGCCUGAGAAACGGCUACCACAUCUAAGGAAGGCAGCAGGCGCGCAAAUUACCCAAUUCUAACAGCAUAAGAGAGGUAGUGACAAGAAAUAACAGUACAAGGCAGUUAAAAUGCUUUGUAAUUGGAAUGAUAGAAAUUUAAAUACUUUUUAAAGUAUCAAUUGGAGGGCAAGUCUGGUGCCAGCAGCCGCGGUAAUUCCAGCUCCAAUAGCGUAUAUUAAAAUUGUUGCAGUUAAAAAGCUCGUAGUUGAAUUUUUGCUAAAAAUAACCGGUCUGCUUUUAUUAAUAAAAGUGGUAUCUUGGUGUGUUUUUAGCAAUAAUGUCCUUUGAAAUGUUUUUUACUUUAUUGUAAAAAACAAAUUUCAGGAUUUUUACUUUGAGAAAAUUAGAGUGUUUCAAGCAGGCUAACGUUUUGAAUA
RNAcentral lists this ribosomal RNA (628 nucleotides) under Hepatozoon sp. CCS-2010. Its description in RNAcentral is "partial 18S ribosomal RNA". It matches the Rfam family "Eukaryotic small subunit ribosomal RNA", at positions 188 to 801 of the family's 1831-position model. The record is from RNAcentral. Lineage: Eukaryota; Apicomplexa; Hepatozoidae.